GAUGAAGAACGUAGCAAAAUGCGAUACUUGGUGUGAAUUGCAGAAUCCCGUGAACCAUCGAGUCUUUGAACGCAAGUUGCGCCCGAAGCCAUUAGGCCGAGGGCACGCCUGCCUGGGCGUCACACGUCGUUGCCCCCCCAUCUACUCCUUCGGGAUUGCGGGGGGCGGAUGAUGGCCUCCCGUGCGCCUUGUCGCGCGGUUGGCAUAAAUGCCAAGUCCUCGGCGACGCACGCCACGACAAUCGGUGGUUGCGAAACCUCGGUUGCCCGUCGUGUGCGGUCGUCGCGCAUCGAGGGCUCGAAAAAAUUGUCGGGCUCCGGCUCGGCUUUCAACGCGACCCCAGGUCAGGCGGGGUUACCCGCUGAAUUUAAGCAUAUCAAUAAGCGGAGGA
This 391-nucleotide unclassified non-coding RNA is filed under the name soil metagenome. Its description in RNAcentral is "partial contains 5.8S ribosomal RNA, internal transcribed spacer 2, and large subunit ribosomal RNA". The stretch from base 1 to 122 matches the Rfam family "5.8S ribosomal RNA", at positions 35 to 154 of the family's 154-position model. The record is from RNAcentral.